Molecule: small RNA, 642 nt
Filed under: Pongo abelii (Sumatran orangutan)
Lineage: Eukaryota; Metazoa; Chordata; Mammalia; Primates; Hominidae
Description: processed transcript
Source: RNAcentral
CUCGGCCUUCUUCCUGGUGGAUGACGGCACGCACGGCUGCCUGGGGGGCGAGAACCGCUUUCGCUUGCGCCUGGAGUCCUACAUCUCACAGCAGAAGACGGGCGUGGGAGGGACUGGAAUUGACAUCCCUGUCCUGCUCCUCCUGAUUGAUGGUGAUGAGAAGAUGUUGACGCGAAUAGAGAAUGCCACCCAGGCUCAGCUCCCCUGUCUCCUCGUGGCUGGCUCCGGGGGAGCUGCGGACUGCCUGGCGGAGACCCUGGAAGACACUCUGGCCCCAGGGAGUGGGGUAGCCAGGCAAGGCGAAGCCCGAGAUCGAAUCAGGCGUUUCUUUCCCAAAGGGGACCUUGAGGUCCUGCAGGCCCAGGUGGAGAGGAUUAUGACCCGGAAGGAGCUCCUGACAGUCUAUUCUUCUGAGGAUGGGUCUGAGGAAUUCGAGACCAUAGUUUUGAAGGCCCUUGUGAAGGUCCUUCCAUCUCGAAGCUUCCCUCAUGGACGCCCUGCUGAAUGACCGGCCUGAGUUCGUGCGCUUGCUCAUUUCCCACGGCCUCAGCCUGGGCCACUUCCUGACCCCGAUGCGCCUGGCCCAACUCUAUAGCGCGGCGCCCCCCAACUCGCUCAUCCGCAACCUUUUGGACCAGGCGU